GUCUUUUCAUUCCAGGCUGAAUGUGGGCAUGGCAGUGAAACUGUCCAGACUGGUUAGGAGGACAGGGAGAGGUGCUACUCCACUGACUGUCCCAGAGUUCUCCCUGGUCCUAAAGAGCAACCAGCCACCAGAGAGUGUUAUCCAGGGCUCUGAGUAGUGUGGCAUCCCUGCUGAGACUCUGGAGGGUUCAGUGUCUGGACCUGACUGACUUCUGGAUCCAGGGUCACUCUCUCAUCACACUGCUGUGUCACCAGGGACCUCUCUCUCUCAGACUGAACUCAGACACUCUGCAGCAGCUGACUGUAGUUGUGUAUGAAGCUCAGGACAAGGACUUGACUCAGUGGUUCCUGGAGAAGGUUGGUGGAGACCUGACCUCCUGCAGGCUGGACCUGGAAGUGCUUCUCUCUCUGCUGCAGCAUUCAACCCACAGCAUCACUGUGGACCUCAGGAAGAACAGGCUCCUAGAGAAGAACAUCUCAGAUCUUCUCCCCUUUCUGGGAAGGGUUAUAUUCAAGAGGUCCAGUUCCAGCUUUGUAAAGUCCACCAUCAGACAGAUCUAUGACAGCAGAGCCAGUGACUGUGUGUCCAGUUUGUUGAGGUCUUCAGACCAUUGGAUCAACCUGAACAGCAGAGAGCUGGACAGAGUGGACUGUACUGCUCUGUGUUUUACCCUGCAGCACUGCCACCAAGUCAAAGUCAACCUGCUGUGGACCUCCAUACCACCGGGGGAGAUAGAGAGCAUCCUGCCUCUUCUGGACAGAGUCUCCCAACUCAGUGUUGACAGGAGGUUACUGCUGAGUUUCCUCCAGUGCUGUGCUGCCUCUCCGAUCCAGCAGGGGGCACCACCACCACCACCACCAA
Long non-coding RNA from Coregonus clupeaformis (lake whitefish), 861 nucleotides. RefSeq lists it as uncharacterized. The transcript is spliced from 4 exons. The record is from RefSeq and is a predicted model, not a curated record. NCBI's taxonomy places the organism in Eukaryota, Metazoa, Chordata, Actinopteri, Salmoniformes, Salmonidae.